Molecule: long non-coding RNA, 1389 nt
Filed under: Falco tinnunculus (common kestrel)
Lineage: Eukaryota; Metazoa; Chordata; Aves; Falconiformes; Falconidae
Description: lncRNA (ENSFTIG00000000102.1)
Source: RNAcentral
UGUCAGGACAAACGCUUUAAGUCAGCUAGGGUCCAGCUCAGGGCCUGUCCAGGAUCCACCUCGGGAGGCAUAACACCGCACCCUGCGCCUCCCCACGUCAUUGCUGCCUGCAGGUCAGCCACCCGGGACCAGGUGGGGUGGCUGGGGUCCCUUCCCCAACGUGGGAGCAGGUGUCACUCGCCCGCUGAGGUGAGAGGCAGCAGCUGCCCCCUCAGUGCCAGUGGCCCUUCAGGGAUCUGCCGCCACUGCUGCCCCCUCAGCACCGGUGGCCCUCAGGGACCGGCCACCACAGCUGCCCCCUCAGCGCCGGUGGCCCUCAGGGACCGGCCGCCACAGCUGCCCCCUCAGCGCCGGUGGCCCUCAGGGACCGGCCGCCACAGCUGCCCCCUCAGCGCCGGUGGCCCUCAGGGACCGGCCGCCACAGCUGCCCCCUCAGCGCCGGUGGCCCUCAGGGACCGGCCGCCACAGCUGCCCCCUCAGCGCCGGUGGCCCUCAGGGACCGGCCGCCACCGCUGCCCCCUCAGCGCCGGUGGCCCUCAGGGACCGGCCGCCACCGCUGCCCCCUCAGCGCCGGUGGCCCUCAGGGACCGGCCGCCACCGCUGCCCCCUCAGCACCGGUGGCCCUCAGGGACCGGCCGCCACCGCUGCCCCCACCUGCCAAGGGGUGAAGGCGAGGGAUCGGCCGCCUCCUCAGCCUGGUGGCAGCUGUUAGGGAGUGGCUGCCGCCGCGAUGCUGCUGCCCCCGCCCGCCCAGGCCGCCCCCUCAGCACCCGCGGUCCCGCGCAGCUGCCACUAGGGCACAGCCCUGCCCGCCCCGCCGCUGCCGGCGCCCCGCCGCCCUUACCGGCGAAGUUCUUGGUGAAGACGAGGGUGACGAGGAGGAUGGGGAUGAGGACGGUGCCGAUGGUGACCACGCGGUCGAAGGGCAGCUCCAGCUUCAGCUGGAGGAGCAGAGCCGCCAGCGCGCCCGCCUUGUCAUCCUGCUGGCCCGGCAGGAUGAGCUCCUUCAGCUUCUCGCCCGCCAGCAGCGCGGUGGCCAUGUCGGGGUGGUUAUCGAUGAUGUGUUGCAUAAGCGGCGGCGGCGGGCGGCCUCACGCCGCCGGGCCUCCCCGGGGACGGGCGGCGCGCUGCGGCGGGCUGGCUGCGGGCGGCGCCCGCGCGGCCUGCGGGGACAACACCGACAGCGGUAACGGCGGGGCCGCGGCCGCGCUCCUCUGCCGCAGCGGCACCAUGUUAGGGCCGGCGGGACCCUGCCCCCGCCGGGCCUGCCGCUACCCCCGGCCUCCCGCCGGGCCCGGAGCGCGGCGCCCCCGCCGACAGCCCCGCGGGGGCUCUCCCCCGCCCGCCCCCCGCAGCGCCGGGGGGAGCGGUGCGAGCGGGCCGGGAUAA